CUUCUUUCCUCACCCUCGUAAGACUACCCGCUGAACUUAAGCAUAUCAAUAAGCGGAGGAAAAGAAACCAACAGGGAUUGCCUCAGUAACGGCGAGUGAAGCGGCAAAAGCUCAAAUUUGAAAUCCCCCGGGAAUUGUAAUUUGAAGAGAUUUGGGUCCGGCCGGCGGGGGUUAAGUCCACUGGAAAGUGGCGCCACAGAGGGUGACAGCCCCGUGAACCCCUUCAAAGCCCUCAUCCCAGAUCUCCAAGAGUCGAGUUGUUUGGGAAAUGCA
RNAcentral lists this ribosomal RNA (273 nucleotides) under Metschnikowia pulcherrima. Its description in RNAcentral is "partial 28S ribosomal RNA". It matches the Rfam family "Eukaryotic large subunit ribosomal RNA", at positions 1 to 284 of the family's 3401-position model. The record is from RNAcentral. Lineage: Eukaryota; Fungi; Ascomycota; Pichiomycetes; Serinales; Metschnikowiaceae.